Molecule: ribosomal RNA, 406 nt
Filed under: uncultured bacterium
Lineage: Bacteria
Description: partial 16S ribosomal RNA
Rfam family: Bacterial small subunit ribosomal RNA
Source: RNAcentral
GACGAACGCUGGCGGCGUGCCUAACACAUGCAAGUAGGACGCAGUUGCGAACGGGUGAGUAACGCGUAGGUAACUACCUAUUAGAGGGGGAUAACUAUUGGAUACGAUCGCUAAUACCGCAUACUAGUAGAUGGACCUGAGUUGUAUUAGCUAGUAGGUAGGGUAAUGGCCUACCUAGGCAACGAUACAUAGCCGACCUGAGAGGGUGAGCGUCCACACUGGGACUGAGACACGGCCCAGACUCCUACGGGAGGCAGCAGUGGGGAAUCUUCGGCAAUGGGGGAACCCUGACCGAUCAACGCCGCGUGAGUGGAGGAGGUUUUCGGGUCGGAAAGCUCUGUUGUUAAGGAAGCGGUACUUAACCAGAAAGGGACGGCUAACUACGUGCCAGCAGCCGCGGUAAUAC